This 466-nucleotide ribosomal RNA is filed under the name uncultured bacterium. RNAcentral describes it as "bacterial SSU rRNA". It matches the Rfam family "Bacterial small subunit ribosomal RNA", at positions 338 to 796 of the family's 1533-position model. The record is from RNAcentral.
CCUACGGGAGGCAGCAGUGGGGAAUUUUGGACAAUGGGGGAAACCCUGAUCCAGCCAUGCCGCGUGUGUGAAGAAGGCCUUCGGGUUGUAAAGCACUUUCGGACGGAACGAAAUCGCGCGGGUGAACACCUCGCGUGGAUGACGGUACCGUAAGAAGAAGCACCGGCUAACUACGUGCCAGCAGCCGCGGUAAUACGUAGGGUGCGAGCGUUAAUCGGAAUUACUGGGCGUAAAGCGUGCGCAGGCGGCGUCGCAAGUCAGGCGUGAAAUCCCCGAGCUUAACUGGGGAAUUGCGCUUGAAACUACGAUGCUUGAGUGUGGCAGAGGGAGGUGGAAUUCCACGUGUAGCGGUGAAAUGCGUAGAUAUGUGGAGGAACACCGAUGGCGAAGGCAGCCUCCUGGGCCAACACUGACGCUCAUGCACGAAAGCGUGGGGAGCAAACAGGAUUAGAUACCCUUGUAGUCC